RNAcentral lists this ribosomal RNA (590 nucleotides) under uncultured bacterium. Its description in RNAcentral is "partial 16S ribosomal RNA". The stretch from base 1 to 169 matches the Rfam family "Bacterial small subunit ribosomal RNA", at positions 1353 to 1533 of the family's 1533-position model. The record is from RNAcentral.
AAUGCCAGGGUGAAUACGUUCUCGGGUGCUGUACACACCGCCCGUCAAGCCAUGAAAGCCGGGGGCGCCUGAAGUCCGUGACCGCGAGGGUCGGCCUAGGGUGAAACCGGUGAUUGGGGCUAAGUCGUAACAAGGUAACCUAACAUGUGUGGGUUGGGGAGAGAAAACACACAGGGGCUGUGGUAGAUGGUAGAGGGGUGGGGCCCCGCGCCCACCCCUUUUAAAUUAGGGUACCUUUGUUACGACCUUAACCUAAAUCCCGGGUUUCCUUCUAGGACGGAUAAGGGGGGUAAGGGCCUUAGGGGGCCCAGGGCUUCCUCCGGGUUACCGGAGGAAAUGGUUGGCCCCCGUAAGGGUAUUUAACCCGAGCACUUCGGGGCAGGAUCGACUCCACUCGGGUAGCGGCUCCAGAGGAGUCCCAAAGGGGCUUUACAUCCUUUUACUGUUCUCUGCAGUUUCAAGCCUGGGUAAGUUCUCUGUGUAUAUCUCUAAUAUUAACCCAUGUCUCCUCCGUUGGGGCGGCCCCGGUCAAUUCCUUUGGAGUUCACUGUUGGACGCCGCUACUCCUCCUAUGGUGGUUAUAUGGUGAA